This 1716-nucleotide long non-coding RNA is filed under the name Schizosaccharomyces pombe (fission yeast). Lineage: Eukaryota; Fungi; Ascomycota; Schizosaccharomycetes; Schizosaccharomycetales; Schizosaccharomycetaceae. The record is from RNAcentral.
CUUUUGCUUAGAGCUCUUUUUUUUUGCUACUAGUACAUCCAUUAAUGUACGUAAUUUUAUUAUCACAUGACUGUGGUCUAAUUUGACCAGUAAAAUAUAAUGUAUUUCUAUUAUAAGCCAUCUGAUCAAAAAUACUUCUAACCUAAGAUAAAACCCAAAAUCCAAAUAUAUUAUUCUGUAUCAGAAUAAGCAGAUGACCCUUCAUUUCCGCUGUCAUCAUUUUUGUUCGAAGAAGUAAUACCUUCUUUUUUCUGGUCUUUUCUUCUUUUCUUAUUUUCACGUUUCCUCCUGACAUUUUCGUCUUGCUCUUUCUUUCUUUUUUCUUUUAACGCGCGACUCUGUUCGUGAAAAUUAUCUUGUUGCUUUAUUUCCUCUUUAGAUUUAUGGACAUGACUGUGAUAAAGUACCUUUCCUCCCAUCGCAUCUUCAGUAAUCUUGAUCAAUUCCAAUGUCAUCCUAGGGCCUAUUUCAAUUAACUUAAUUGCCUGUUGCUUAGGUUUUAAUAGUUGAGAUGCCGAUAGUAGAUUCUCUUCAGUUUUAGUCGGUACAGGACGAUCAAUCUCUACGGUUGCAUCCUCUUCGAUUUCUGAGUCACUUGCUGCACCAGAAAUACCAUCACCAUGUAAAACAUAAUCCGAAAUAUCACGAACAUUGUGUAAAUCAGGGAUAUCAGAGUCCUUUUUUUCACCUUUCAACAGAUGUCUUAUAGGGCGAGAAAUACCCACAGGCUUCGUGCUAAUUAUGAAAUGACGAAGGUCGAUAUAACCAUCGUCGCGGCGGUUUAAUAACAGAACCCGUUUAACACUAUUAAUGUUGGUAUGUUGGACUGAAAUUGGAGGAAACAUAUUUUGAAAUGUAGUCGUUAGCAAAGCUUCAUGGGGAGAGUCUUUUGACGAAUUUUGAUUAAAAUGAUUCAUGACCAAAAGUGGAGGAGUAAGGAACUCUGUUGUUGGAGAUUUAGGAUUUUUUUGAAGUCUUCGAACAUCUUUGUUCAGCAUAUACUCAUGAAUCCUAAAAUGUAAUGAGGGACCUCUAGGAGCCCUAAUGAUUCUCAAGUUCGCAUUGUUGUCAGUGCGAGAGAGGACAAGAAGAUGUGUAACUCCAAGAGGUCCAGCCAUAGUCAAGUAAUCUUUUAUUUUAUUAGCUUUACGCUCCUUUAAUCGAAUAGCUGUAUGUGGUUCCAUCAUAUGUCGAAGAUCUCGAGUAAGCAAAGAUAAGCUUCUACCUACUUCAGAAGCGCCCGAUCGAAUUACCAUCUUAAAUAAGAAUUAGCAAAGGGACUAAAAAAUUUUACAAUUUUACAAAAUUGCACAUACCGAUUUAGGAAUUGCUGCUUCUUGUAUAGGAUCAGCUUUCAAAUGCGUCCUCUUUUUUACCUAUAAUUAAAUUAGUUUAAAUAAAGUAUUUCUUUUAAACUAUCCAUUCUCAACAUACCCGUUUUUUACCAAUGCCUCCCAUUCUUUGUGGUUGGUAGUUAAAAAAAAUUGUACACUCUCAAGAACACCAAUAUGCAAAGUUCAUUUCCGCCAACAUGACAAUAAAGAUGGCAAUAGACAUUAUUUUUUUGAAAGCUGAAUUUUCUAUUUUAACAUAUCUCAUUUACAUGCUGUGAACAUAAUUUGAGCGAGAAAUUUUUUAUACUAGUAUAGUUAAUAAUAAUGUUAUGGGCCUAGAAGUAAAAAAAGAAAAAAACACGUGAAAUUGAGAAUAAUGACC